This 1609-nucleotide long non-coding RNA is filed under the name Sorghum bicolor (sorghum). Its description in RNAcentral is "long non-coding RNA (SBIC_LNC011758)". Lineage: Eukaryota; Viridiplantae; Streptophyta; Magnoliopsida; Poales; Poaceae. The record is from RNAcentral.
AAUUUACUGUAUUUUCAAUUUCUUGCACACUAUUGUGACCACAAGGAGUGCAUUGAAGUUAUGCAAGGUGGAAGAAAAGGUUAGUAUUUUAACCUCUUGUGUUGAUAUUAAAUUCUUGAAUUACAUUUGAAAUACUGAUUAUAUGUUAAUGGUACUAGACAAAUUUAAAAUAUGUCACCCCUGGACAUUCUUUAGUUCUUUAACAAAACAUUCUUUAAUUUAGUACUCCCUCCGUAUCGUCAAUACCGUUCGUUUUGAAGCGACGGCGAGUUGUGUGAAUAGAAUUCGUUUCGGCGCUCGAGGCUCCCGUUGGACGUGACUGCCCCUCAUCAAAGCGACGUGGCCGUCGGUUCGGCUUCCUCGUGAGCGUCAUGCAAGCCCAUGCAAAAAUAUUUGCGCAAAAACCAACAGAGCAUCCAGGGCUGGAUCCCCAGACCUGAAGCCUCGCAGUGUGGUGGCUUCACCUAUCGGGCUAGGAAGGAUGUUUGUACAAUUGCACCUGCGGAGCUAUUUAACCCCUAAUUAAGGACUCCUUGAUGGACGUGCCCACCUCAAAAACGAACUCUAAAACUGAUAUGGAGGGAGUACCUAUUUACUGCAAAUACCCAAAUAGUAUAGAAAAGUCCUGCCGUUUUUAUUUGGUCUUCUACUAGAAGAAAAAGGGUGAUAGAUGGAGCUCUGUGUUCAGUUUGUAGGGAACUGAAUGGGAUGGGUGCAAUUGAAAGGGCGAUGACUAAAUACUGUGAUUGUGUGAUUAAAAAGAGAGACAUAUUUGACCCAUUUCUUGCCCUAACAUUUGAUUCUGAAGGUUAACUCAUGGAGUACUAUAAAACCUUUAUUCAUAGAAAGUUUGGGCUAAUGUCCACAAAGGAAAUGUAAACAGGAAAUUGUUUCCAAACAAUGAGGGGGAUUGAUUUUCAUGGACAGAUGGUUGUAUAUAUUUGACAAUCUAUCCUAUUCAGUUCUUGGAACAGUUCAUCAUGUUGGUAUAGCAUUUUUUUUGUUUUUUGGUUUGUUGUUUCCUAUUUAUGGUGUCAAGGGAUUUGACAAAAUGGUGUACUUCCAGGGCAACUAUAAAUGAUUAGGUUGCACACCAAACAAUUAUGCAGAGGGAAGGGAAUGGAAUUCUCAUCAGAAACUAGACCUGAACACAAGGGACAUGAUAUAACCAUCUGUCCAUGGAAGGAAAAACACUUGCAUGAAGACUGUACAGUGAGUACAAUGUUCAGAGAGGUUGCAUCAUAUUUAUCUUUUUUUUUCAAUAGAGAUGAUUCCUGUAUUUAGAAAUUUGAGCCAGGUUCAAAUGCUAGUUUCUUGAGGGAAAUAUGAUGUUCGUUUCUGAAGAAGCAUGUGAGUAGUAAAGUUCCAAGGCACUGCCACCAAUGAAUUCUUGCAAGUGGGAGCCUCAAGAUGCUGGUGCAAUUGGUGGCUGAGCUAGCUGAACUGCUGCAUGAUGUCUAGGGCCGUUGAUGACUGAAUUGUUGCUACAAAGAUGAUGACUCUGUUCAUACUGCAAUGAUGUUUGGUGUAAUUUCAUAAGCCCAUAAAGUUAUUCUGUAAAAUUAUUCGAAGUACUUAAUUUUGAAACACUAAUCCUAUACUCUCUCGG